Bos taurus (domestic cattle) is the source of this 623-nucleotide long non-coding RNA. The record is from Ensembl. NCBI's taxonomy places the organism in Eukaryota, Metazoa, Chordata, Mammalia, Artiodactyla, Bovidae.
GGCUGGGUGAGAAGGAGAGCUAGAGCAAUAGAAGGAGAACGCCAGACUGGGUGAAAAGGGAAAGGGGAGAGGAGAGACAGAGAGACCUAGAGACAGAGAUAAGAGAACGCAGAGGGAGAGACUGCGCGCCCGCCGAGCGCCAACUCCAUCAGAAGGCGUGCCUGCGAGAGGAGCUGUGAACUCGAGAGAUGAACCAAGUUAUACUUCCUUCUAAAAUGAUGCUUUCUAAUGAAGAAAAGGUUUUCAGAAAUGACAUAAAGCAGUAGCUUGUGGAGGAGCGCUCUGAAGACUACUGACACAGUACUUUGAGCACAGUGGGUUUUUGUCAAAGAAACAAACAGGUUUGUGGUCAGUUGAUGGAUGGCCUUAGCUGACAAUGUCCUUUGGACGUACCUGUGGCAUCUUCCACGGAGGUCUAGUUAUGGAGCAGCCGGCCAGCAGGAAGCUACCAGCUCACUGUCUAAGCACCACGAGUGAAGAAAGUCCUGGAUGGGGACUGGGAGGGAAUCGUCAGUCCCAGGACUUGCCUCUCUCUGCUCCAUUCUGUCAAAAUGUAGUGAAACAGCGGGGAUCCACCUUCCACUCCACACAGCUGAGUAUCUUCCUUGAAGAUGAAAGAACAA